GCAAGAGGGACUGCUCGUCGGAUGUUCUGUUCUCCAUACUGUAACAAAUGUUCAAGAGACCGAAUUGCCAUAUCAAUGCCUAGCUCCUCUGACAUAGCCACAAGACCUAUUCCGAGCACUGCAGAUCCCUGGUGGGUUUCACCUUUCUCAAGAUGUUGAGAACAGUAUCCUAGAAGUUUUUGGACCUUGAGGACAUUUCCUGUUCCAGCAUAGGCCAAGGAUAGAAGUGUGAUGUCACAGUAUUUCUGGAUUUUCUCGUUGAAGGUCUUAGAAACCUCUGCCGAAGCCUCAACACUUUCCUGCUUUCCAAGGUACAGAAGGCCAAGGGCUACAGGCAGCAGGCGAGAAAGUGGUUCCCCCAUUUCGUUGUCGCUGCGCACCAUUAAAGCAUGA
This 393-nucleotide unclassified non-coding RNA is filed under the name Hevea brasiliensis (rubber tree). Lineage: Eukaryota; Viridiplantae; Streptophyta; Magnoliopsida; Malpighiales; Euphorbiaceae. The record is from RNAcentral.